This 254-nucleotide ribosomal RNA is filed under the name uncultured bacterium. RNAcentral describes it as "partial 16S ribosomal RNA". It matches the Rfam family "Bacterial small subunit ribosomal RNA", at positions 524 to 776 of the family's 1533-position model. The record is from RNAcentral.
CACGUAGGGGGCAAGCGUUGUCCGGAUUCAUUGGGCGUAAAGAGCUCGUAGGCGGUUCGAUAAGUCGGGUGUGAAACCUCCAGGCUCAACCUGGAGACGCCACCCGAUACUGUCGUGACUAGAGUCCAGUAGGGGAGCGUGGAAUUCCUGGUGUAGCGGUGAAAUGCGCAGAUAUCGGGAGGAACACCAGUGGCGAAGGCGACUACCUGGCCUGUUCUUGACGCUGAGGCGCGAAAGCUAGGGGAGCAAACGGG